GAUGAACGCUAGCGGCAGGCUUAAUACAUGCAAGACGAACGGUAACUGGUGUAGCAAUACAUUAGCAAGAGUGUCGUACGGGUGCGUAACACGUAUGCAACCUACCUUGUACAGGAGGAUAGCUCGGGGAAACUACGAAUUAACCCUCCAUGAGAUCACAGUGUGGCAUCACAUAGUGAUUAAAACUCAGGUGGUACAAGAUGGGCAUGCGUCNG
This 215-nucleotide ribosomal RNA is filed under the name uncultured bacterium. Its description in RNAcentral is "partial 16S ribosomal RNA". It matches the Rfam family "Bacterial small subunit ribosomal RNA", at positions 28 to 239 of the family's 1533-position model. The record is from RNAcentral.